ACGUCCGACCCGCCAAUGGGUGCCCGCCGAGGCCACUCCGCCUCGCGGGUUAAACGGGAAGACCGGUUCAGCCGCACCCAGCGGCGAGUCCGGCGCUGCCCCCGCAACGGUAGGUGGGUGGCGGCAGACCCCGAGAGCCACUGCGGAUCGCACGUCCCCUGGGCGGCAUCCGCGGGAAGGCAGUCUGCCGCCCGGAGGUCUUCUCACCUCCGCCCCACAAGCCCGGAGACCGGCCCAUGGCCAACCGGAAGA
This 252-nucleotide non-coding RNA is filed under the name Halorhodospira halophila. The record is from RNAcentral. RNAcentral also lists the same sequence under 1 other name. Lineage: Bacteria; Pseudomonadati; Pseudomonadota; Gammaproteobacteria; Chromatiales; Ectothiorhodospiraceae.